UAGGGAAUCUUCCACAAUGGACGCAAGUCUGAUGGAGCAACGGCCGCGUGAGUGAAGAAGGUUUUCGGACCGUAAAGCUCUGUUGUUGGUGAAGAAGGAUAGAGGUAGUAACUGGCCUUUAUUUGACGGUAAUCAACCAGAAAGUCACGGCUAACUACGUGCCAGCAGCCGCGGUAAUACGUAGGUGGCAAGCGUUGUCCGGAUUUAUUGGGCGUAAAGCGAGCGCAGGCGGAAGAAUAAGUCUGAUGUGAAAGCCCUCGGCUUAACCGAGGAAUUGCAUCGGAAACUGUUUUCUUGAGUGCAGAAGAGGAGAGUAGAACUCCAUGUGUAGCGGUGGAAUGCGUAGAUAUAUGGAAGAAUACCAGUGGCGAAGGCGGCUCUCUGGUCUGCAACUGACGCUGAGGCUCGAAAGCAUGGGUAGCGAACAGGAUUAGAUACCCUGGUAGUCCAUGCCGUAAACGAUGAGUGCUAA
This 472-nucleotide ribosomal RNA is filed under the name uncultured bacterium. RNAcentral's name for it is "partial 16S ribosomal RNA". It matches the Rfam family "Bacterial small subunit ribosomal RNA", at positions 355 to 819 of the family's 1533-position model. The record is from RNAcentral.